AUACGAAUUAGUUUCUUUUUCUUGUUAACAUUAAUAAGUACUGCCUAAUCUUCAUAACUGCAAGUUCUAUAAGUUCAUGCACCAGGAAACUUCAAUUCACACAAGCUACAUUACGUUUCAGCAUUGAUGGAAGCAAGGAGAUCUGGAAACUAUGAACCAAGUGUUUAGAAUGACGAUUUUCUGCAGUCAAUAUUUACUCCAUAUGCGGUAAGAUAAAGAAAAUAACUAUCCUUUCAUUUCUCAUUGUGUGUCUCUGAUACUGUCAUAGUGUCAUGUUAAACCUGCAGGGAAAAGAGUACAUGCAACUCGUUGAGAAUCUGAAAGAAAAAAUAAGAAUUAUCAUCAACGAAACAGAAGAUGAGCUUCAUCAACUUGAGCUUAUUAAUAAUUUGCAAAGACUUGAUGUUUGUUACCACUUUAAGGAUGAAAUAAAAAAAGUAUUGGAGGAUAUAUAACUAACUAAUAAAGAUUCCGAUAAUACGAAUAAUAAGGAUUUGUAUUCAACAGCUCUAAAAUUUAGACUUCUUAGACAACAAGGAUACCAG
Molecule: long non-coding RNA, 545 nt
Filed under: Olea europaea subsp. europaea
Lineage: Eukaryota; Viridiplantae; Streptophyta; Magnoliopsida; Lamiales; Oleaceae
Source: RNAcentral